CGGAAGUGAGGCAUCCGCCAUGAAGCAGCAGACACUCUCACGCCGGGAUCAUCUGAGGAGGGUUCAACGAAGGGACCACUUCUCUAGAUCGGGCUCAGGAGUCCAGGAACUGGCAACAAGUCACACAGGAAGAAGUGAGGCAGAAGGAGAUACCAGAGCCAGGACGGGCAGGGACAGAACUUCGCUGACCGUGUAACCCUUUACAGCCGAAGAGCUCGAGCUACAGGGCUUGGAGAGGAGCCCUUCACUGUCCUAAACCACAUGGAGGUAAUAACACACGUCUAAGAGGUCCACCGUUGGCCAUCGAACAGACACCUUCCAUGAACAGACACCCUCCAUUCUCCAUAAGACCUGCUGACGGGGCCAUGGUGCUAGAAUGUUCACGGCUACCAGGCUAGGCCCCCUCUAGGACACCUGCACCUGUACCUCUAAGAGUCGGCUUGUUUCCUUUUGCGCUGAUGUCUGUUGUACCUGAUACCGU
Molecule: long non-coding RNA, 481 nt
Filed under: Mustela putorius furo (domestic ferret)
Lineage: Eukaryota; Metazoa; Chordata; Mammalia; Carnivora; Mustelidae
Description: lncRNA (ENSMPUG00000028306.1)
Source: RNAcentral